GUCUUUGGCCGUCCGAGUUGUAAUCUAGAGAAGUAAUGCCCGUGCUGGACCGUGUAUAAGUCUCCUGGGAUGGGGCGUCAUAGAGGGUGAGAAUCCCGUCUUUGACACGGACUACCAGUGCAUUGUGGUAUGCUCUCAAAGAGUCGAGUUGUUUGGGAAUGCAGCUCAAAAUGGGUGGUAAAUUCCAUCUAAAGCUAAAUAUUGGCGAGAGACCGAUAGCGAACAAGUACCGUGAGGGAAAGAUGAAAAGAACUUUGGAAAGAGAGUUAAACAGUACGUGAAAUUGCUGAAAGGGAAACGCUUGAAGUCAGUCGCGUUGGCCAGGGAUCAGCCUUGCUUUUGCAUGGUGUACUUUCUGGUUGACGGGUCAGCAUCAAUUUUGACCGCUGGAAAAAGGCUUGGGGAAUGUGGCAGCAUUGGCUGUGUUAUAGCCCCUGGUCACAUACAGCGGUUGGGAUUGAGGAACUCAGCACGCCGCAAGGCCGGGUUUCGACCACGUUCGUGCUUAGGAUGCUGGCAUAAUGGCUUUAAGCGACCCGUCUUGAAACACGGACCAAGGAGUCUAACAUGCCUGCGAGUAUUUGGGUGGAAAACCCGAGUGCGCAAUGAAAGUGAAAGUUGAGAUCCCUGUCGUGGGGAGCAUCGACGCCCGGACCAGAACUUUUGCGACGGAUCCGCGGUGGAGCAUGUAUGUUGGGACCCGAAAGAUGGUGAACUAUGCCUGAAUAGGGUGAAGCCAGAGGAAACUCUGGUGGAGGCUCGUAGCGAUUCUGACGUGCAAAUCGAUCGUCAAAUUUGGGUA
This 802-nucleotide ribosomal RNA is filed under the name Agaricus crocopeplus. Its description in RNAcentral is "partial large subunit ribosomal RNA". It matches the Rfam family "Eukaryotic large subunit ribosomal RNA", at positions 127 to 917 of the family's 3401-position model. Lineage: Eukaryota; Fungi; Basidiomycota; Agaricomycetes; Agaricales; Agaricaceae. The record is from RNAcentral.